RNAcentral lists this ribosomal RNA (449 nucleotides) under uncultured bacterium. RNAcentral describes it as "partial 16S ribosomal RNA". It matches the Rfam family "Bacterial small subunit ribosomal RNA", at positions 29 to 523 of the family's 1533-position model. The record is from RNAcentral.
AACGAACGCUGGCGGCAGGCCUAACACAUGCAAGUCGAACGGAUCCUUCGGGAUUAGUGGCGCACGGGUGAGUAACACGUGGGAACGUGCCCUUGGGUACGGAAAAACAGUUGGAAACGACUGCUAAUACCGUAUAAUAUCGAGAGAUCAAAGAUUUAUCGCCCAAGGAUCGGCCCGCGGAAGAUUAGGUAGUUGGUGGGGUGAAAGCCUACCAAGCCUACGAUCUAUAGCUGGUCUUAGAGGAUGAUCAGCCACACUGGAACUGAGACACGGUCCAGACUCCUACGGGAGGCAGCAGUGAGGAAUAUUGGACAAUGGGCGAAAGCCUGAUCCAGCCAUGCCGCGUGAAUGAUGAAGGCCUUAGGGUUGUAAAGUUCUUUUAGCUGUGACGAUAAUGACGGUAGCAGCAGAAAAAGCCCCGGCUAACUCCGUGCCAGCCGCCGCGGUAA